Molecule: long non-coding RNA, 1173 nt
Organism: Mauremys reevesii (Reeves's turtle)
Lineage: Eukaryota; Metazoa; Chordata; Testudines; Geoemydidae
Exons: 3
Source: RefSeq, a predicted model, not a curated record
UGCACCCCCACCCACAGCUCAGUGCAGCGAGAGGAAGAGAAUGGGCCAGAACCAGGGAGAAGAUCACUGGCUGUUGACAGGCACUAGUGGGGAUGAAAAUGUCCAUGCUUCUUCUUUCACUUGACAUCAGCAGAAACAAGCGAGAAGCAUCUCAGGAGAGACUCAGCAGCGAACUGAAGAAGGAAGACCACCCAGGGAUGUCUUCUCUGGCCAUGAAGCUUUUAGAGCAAAGGUUCCGCUGUCUAGUAACGCUGCAUGCUUCAUACAUUGCUACCUUCCUGAGUGAACAGGAAUCAAAAAGACACCAUUUUUGAAUGGGUUGCAAUGAAAACACCAUUUCAUCCACAGAAGAAGGAACAAAGAAAUAAAAGUGCUAGUAAUGGAUCAAGAAUUCCCUCUCUUCCUUACACUGAACAAACUUCAGAGCCUGCCUUCUACAGAAGAGGUGGUGGUUGGGAUAGCCAGAAGGAUGAGCCUGGAUGAGGUGGGGGCAUGGAUGAUACAACCAGAGAGAUGUUAAGAGACACAGAUGAUGUGUUUGAGGUACAAGAAGAAGAGAGUUUUGCAUUGUGCCAGGUUAGUUUGACAACCACAGGAUAUACGGGAGGGAGAUUGAAAAGUAGGAAGGAAUGGACAGGACAGAAUUCAGUAAGAAAUCAGAAGGGAAGGAAAAGGCUAGAUAAGGAGACAGGUUUACUCAAAAAUGUAAAUAUGAGAGAUUAGGAAGCAGCCUGGCUGUUGAGAAGAUAGGGCAUAGCAGCUAGAUUCAGUGUCUUUACACACAAGAGAGAACUUCCCUUAUGUGGUUAGAAAUUCACAUGUGUGUUUGUAGCUUCCUGGUUUUGAUGGAUCUGGGCCUUGUUUUCCUGUAAUCUACCCCUCCAGCAGGGGUGGGAAUUGAUGAUGGAGUAGGAGCCGCAACAGGAGAGAGGCCGCUGCUGCACUGGCAUUCCCUCUCCUCUCUGUGUCCCAAGUGAUUCUUGCAUUUCCUCUGAACAUUUGGAAGCCUGACUUUGUGUCUUCUACUGUGUUAUACAAGGCGCGCAUUUGGAAAAUGUCCUGUCAUCCAGACAAGGAAGCAAUACCAGUUACUACUUUGCAAUUUAAAUACAUUUGAAAAAAAAAAGUAAAUCAGAUACUUUGGCUGGGAAAUAUUGACUGGUUUGAUAUUUU